Molecule: ribosomal RNA, 261 nt
Filed under: uncultured bacterium
Lineage: Bacteria
Description: partial 16S ribosomal RNA
Rfam family: Bacterial small subunit ribosomal RNA
Source: RNAcentral
CGAACGGGUGAGUAACACGUGGGCAACCUGCCCAAAAGAGGGGGAUAACACUUGGAAACAGGUGCUAAUACCGCAUAACCAUAGUUACCGCAUGGUAACUAUGUAAAAGGUGGCUAUGCUACCGCUUUUGGAUGGGCCCGCGACGCAUUAGCUAGUUGGUGGGGUAGAGGCUUACCAAGGCAAUGAUGCGUAGCCGAACUGAGAGGUUGAUCGGCCACAUUGGGACUGAGACACGGACCAGACUCCUACGGAAGGCAGCAG